This 98-nucleotide signal recognition particle RNA is filed under the name beta proteobacterium AAP99. RNAcentral's name for it is "Bacterial small signal recognition particle RNA". It matches the Rfam family "Bacterial small signal recognition particle RNA". From Rfam's summary of the family: The signal recognition particle (SRP) is a universally conserved ribonucleoprotein involved in the co-translational targeting of proteins to membranes. Lineage: Bacteria; Pseudomonadati; Pseudomonadota; Betaproteobacteria. The record is from Rfam by way of RNAcentral. RNAcentral also lists the same sequence under 1 other name.
GGUGGGCCCCCUCGCAUGGGAGUCCGGGAACCGGGUCAGGUCGGGAACGAAGCAGCCCUAACCGGUCGCUUUCAGUGCCGAGGUUCAGGCUCACCUUU